CGUAACACGUGGGUAAUCUGCCCUUCGAUGGGGAAUAACCUCGCGAAAGCGAGGCUAAUUCCGCAUAACAUUCCGAUGGUUCCGAUCAAUGGACUCAAAGCCGUAAGGCGUCGGAGGAGGAGCCCGCGCACGAUUAGCUAGUUGGUGAGGUAACGGCUCACCAAGGCUUUGAUCGUUAGCUGGUCUGAGAGGAUGGCCAGCCACACUGGAACUGAGACACGGUCCAG
Molecule: ribosomal RNA, 227 nt
Filed under: uncultured bacterium
Lineage: Bacteria
Description: partial 16S ribosomal RNA
Rfam family: Bacterial small subunit ribosomal RNA
Source: RNAcentral